Long non-coding RNA from Sinocyclocheilus grahami, 642 nucleotides. RefSeq lists it as uncharacterized. Lineage: Eukaryota; Metazoa; Chordata; Actinopteri; Cypriniformes; Cyprinidae. The transcript has 2 exons. The record is from RefSeq and is a predicted model, not a curated record.
UUGUAACUCUACCCCUUCAGAGACGUCAACAACCAAAAAAGAUACUCGGUUAUCAGCGGAGAAGGAGUCCUCAUCAGACACCUCGACAAACACUCAGGAAAGUGAAGAUGGUUCCCCACCCACAAAGAAAAGUAGAGUGGAAUCAUCUUCUCAGGACUUAGAUAACUAAAGCUGACUAGUUUGCUCCCAUGUUUCAAACACGUCACUGUCACAAACCAAUGAGGAAACACAACACACUUAACAAUCCAUUCCUGAUCUUUAAGUACAGCUUCACCCUGUUCAUCAUCUUCUCACCUGGAGCGAACAUUGUCGCUGUGCCAGUGAACCGAGGCCGACGACGAACACUGACCUGAUCCUGUGAGAAACCUGCAGCCUCGCUCCAUUCAACUCAUGCACGAUAUACAGCGUUAGUUUAACAGUAAUGAGAGUGAAUGCACUGCAUAGAUUUGUCAAGAUAAAAGAUGGAUUUGCUGCUGUGAUCAUCUUUGUUUUAAGUCUUCUAUUAUUUAAUUGAAUGACUCUACUAGUUGUUUUUCGAACUAUUUUGCAGGUUGUUGUAUGGUUAUAGUGCUGGUGUUUGGUUUGUUCAUAGAUUCUCUACUGGUUAGUGUGCCUUCUGGCUCCAUGAUGUGUGAUUUUAUU